Long non-coding RNA from Trichomycterus rosablanca, 925 nucleotides. RefSeq lists it as uncharacterized. The record is from RefSeq and is a predicted model, not a curated record. Lineage: Eukaryota; Metazoa; Chordata; Actinopteri; Siluriformes; Trichomycteridae. The transcript is spliced from 5 exons.
CAAAAAACCAUUUAGCAUAACAUAUCUGGAUUGGCAGCAGGUGUAUGUAUACUGUACAUUGAGUCACAAGGACACACACAGGGCGAGGGGGAGAACAGGUUAUGUCCUGGGUGAGUGGGGUCUUUCGUCCAGUAAAAAUGUCUCGGAGGUCUGGUAGUGUUUUGCCGAAGACAUGCUCUGCCGCCCUCACCACCUGCCGUGGGACCUUUCUGUUCUCCUCUGUGCAGCUGUUAAACCACACCAUACAGCAACAGGUCAGGAGACUCUCUAUAGCUGACCAAUAGAAGUUGGUCAGCAGAUGUUGAGGGAGGUGAGCCUAAAGUCUCUGUUGAGCCCUCCCCACCUGAUGAAAGAUGUGUGUGGUCCAGAUGGCACUGCAUCAAGAACCAUCAUUCAUCAAUAGCUGAUAUAACCACAUGGGCAAGGGAUUACAUUGGCAAACCUUUGUGAAGCACAAUACAGAGUUACAUUCACAAAUGCCAUUUAAUACUUUUCUGUGCAAAAAGAAGCCUUAUGUUAACCAUGUCCAAAAGUGGCAUCGACUUCUCUGGGCUCAGAGUCAUCUGGGAUGGACCAUCACACAGUGGAAACCAAUGAAAACAAAAUAUCUCGAGUUUGCACUGUCUGCAAUUGUAUACUAAAACUCAAUAGCGUCCAAUUGCCUGAUUGCAUCAUGCUUUCUCUCCACCAAUGCCGAUCCCUGCUCUGAUUGAGGAGAACGAAGCUAACCCACGCCCCCUCCGACACGGUGGCAGCAGCCGUGCCAUCAAUCAGGCAGCAGAGGUCGUAACUGCAUUAGUUAUGAGAGAGAGAGACAAUAUCCGGCUUCAUCCCACCCAUAUCUGAACAACAAGCCAAUCGUUGUUCAUGUGGCUGCUCAGCCUAGACGGCAGGCAACUUAAGUCUAAUUAAAUAAUCAACUCUG